AGCCCCGGGGCAGGCUGGAAGACUUGUGAUUUUGUUGUUUCCAAUGUCAAGGGGAGCAAACAACAAAUCCCAGUCUCCACCCUGCCCCGGGCA
This is a non-coding RNA of Pelecanus crispus (Dalmatian pelican), 93 nucleotides long. Lineage: Eukaryota; Metazoa; Chordata; Aves; Pelecaniformes; Pelecanidae. The record is from Rfam.